AGGAGGAUUAAGGCCUGUCUACUCUUAGAAAAUGGCCAAGACAGAUUUCUGCUGAAUCAACAUUACAUACAUCACACAUGUAAAUGAUAUCCUUUGAUUUGUAACCAGGCCUGUCAUUGCAAUAGGCCUGGAGGCCUUGAGAAGGAUUGCACCAUUCCCCACUGGUGGAGAGCCAGGGUGGUCCAUUUGCCACCACUGCAUCCCAGCUUCUCAGCAUUGGACCAGAGUGCUCAUUCUGCAUGUUGCAUCUGUUCACCUUGCAUGGAAAAGUCCAGAAGAGUAGGUGAAGUCCUUGAGAGCUAAGGCACCUGAGCCUAGACGCGAUGGGAACAUGAGCACAAAGUUUUCUUUUACAUUGGAAAAAAUAAAGACCAAGUUCUGAGAAUAAAGGUUGAUUCAUCUUUCUCUAAAAAAUCACAUGCUCCUAAUACUCACCGGACCCAGUUGAAAAGUUUGGGAAAUGCUUUCUUUCCACUCCAAACUUUCACAAUGCAAAGUCCUCUGUGAACUUGCCUCUUGUCUCCAGCAUCAUCUGAGUCAGAUUUGUUCUUCUCCAAAGGAAUGGUCAGUUAAGGCAUCAAUGAAACUUCUGUGACGUGACACCCCUGUCCUUCAUUGGUCCCCAUCAGACAGGUAAGGGUUUCAUAUCUGCUCUUCUGACACUUGUACAAGCUUACCAUUAUUUUAAAAUCUUGCCAUUCUUUUACAUUAGUCUGAGCAAUUCCAGGACUAAGAUUCUAACCAGUUUAUUCUUGUAUGAUCCUGCUUAAAGUACAUAGAAGGUGUGCAAGAAAUAAAUACAUUCAUUGGAG
This 812-nucleotide long non-coding RNA is filed under the name Macaca mulatta (Rhesus monkey). Its description in RNAcentral is "lncRNA (ENSMMUG00000064074.1)". The record is from RNAcentral. Lineage: Eukaryota; Metazoa; Chordata; Mammalia; Primates; Cercopithecidae.